RNAcentral lists this ribosomal RNA (492 nucleotides) under uncultured bacterium. RNAcentral's name for it is "partial 16S ribosomal RNA". It matches the Rfam family "Bacterial small subunit ribosomal RNA", at positions 29 to 507 of the family's 1533-position model. The record is from RNAcentral.
AGUGAACGCUGGCGGUAGGCCUAACACAUGCAAGUCGAACGGCAGCACAGUAAGAGCUUGCUCUUACGGGUGGCGAGUGGCGGACGGGUGAGGAAUACAUCGGAAUCUACUUUUUCGUGGGGGAUAACGUAGGGAAACUUACGCUAAUACCGCAUACGACCUACGGGUGAAAGCAGGGGAUCUUCGGACCUUGCGCGAUUGAAUGAGCCAAUGUCGGAUUAGCUAGUUGGCGGGGUAAAGGCCCACCAAGGCGACGAUCCGUAGCUGGUCUGAGAGGAUGAUCAGCCACACUGGAACUGAGACACGGUCCAGACUCCUACGGGAGGCAGCAGUGGGGAAUAUUGGACAAUGGGCGCAAGCCUGAUCCAGCCAUACCGCGUGGGUGAAGAAGGCCUUCGGGUUGUAAAGCCCUUUUGUUGGGAAAGAAAAGCAGCAGGUUAAUACCCCGCUGUUCUGACGGUACCCAAAGAGUAAGCACCGGCCAACUUCGUG